Molecule: ribosomal RNA, 2319 nt
Filed under: Escherichia coli
Lineage: Bacteria; Pseudomonadati; Pseudomonadota; Gammaproteobacteria; Enterobacterales; Enterobacteriaceae
Also listed under: 1 other name
Description: partial 23S ribosomal RNA
Rfam family: Bacterial large subunit ribosomal RNA
Source: RNAcentral
GACUUAUAUUCUGUAGCAAGGUUAACCGAAUAGGGGAGCCGAAGGGAAACCGAGUCUUAACUGGGCGUUAAGUUGCAGGGUAUAGACCCGAAACCCGGUGAUCUAGCCAUGGGCAGGUUGAAGGUUGGGUAACACUAACUGGAGGACCGAACCGACUAAUGUUGAAAAAUUAGCGGAUGACUUGUGGCUGGGGGUGAAAGGCCAAUCAAACCGGGAGAUAGCUGGUUCUCCCCGAAAGCUAUUUAGGUAGCGCCUCGUGAAUUCAUCUCCGGGGGUAGAGCACUGUUUCGGCAAGGGGGUCAUCCCGACUUACCAACCCGAUGCAAACUGCGAAUACCGGAGAAUGUUAUCACGGGAGACACACGGCGGGUGCUAACGUCCGUCGUGAAGAGGGAAACAACCCAGACCGCCAGCUAAGGUCCCAAAGUCAUGGUUAAGUGGGAAACGAUGUGGGAAGGCCCAGACAGCCAGGAUGUUGGCUUAGAAGCAGCCAUCAUUUAAAGAAAGCGUAAUAGCUCACUGGUCGAGUCGGCCUGCGCGGAAGAUGUAACGGGGCUAAACCAUGCACCGAAGCUGCGGCAGCGACACUGUGUGUUGUUGGGUAGGGGAGCGUUCUGUAAGCCUGUGAAGGUGUGCUGUGAGGCAUGCUGGAGGUAUCAGAAGUGCGAAUGCUGACAUAAGUAACGAUAAAGCGGGUGAAAAGCCCGCUCGCCGGAAGACCAAGGGUUCCUGUCCAACGUUAAUCGGGGCAGGGUGAGUCGACCCCUAAGGCGAGGCCGAAAGGCGUAGUCGAUGGGAAACAGGUUAAUAUUCCUGUACUUGGUGUUACUGCGAAGGGGGGACGGAGAAGGCUAUGUUGGCCGGGCGACGGUUGUCCCGGUUUAAGCGUGUAGGCUGGUUUUCCAGGCAAAUCCGGAAAAUCAAGGCUGAGGCGUGAUGACGAGGCACUACGGUGCUGAAGCAACAAAUGCCCUGCUUCCAGGAAAAGCCUCUAAGCAUCAGGUAACAUCAAAUCGUACCCCAAACCGACACAGGUGGUCAGGUAGAGAAUACCAAGGCGCUUGAGAGAACUCGGGUGAAGGAACUAGGCAAAAUGGUGCCGUAACUUCGGGAGAAGGCACGCUGAUAUGUAGGUGAAGUCCCUCGCGGAUGGAGCUGAAAUCAGUCGAAGAUACCAGCUGGCUGCAACUGUUUAUUAAAAACACAGCACUGUGCAAACACGAAAGUGGACGUAUACGGUGUGACGCCUGCCCGGUGCCGGAAGGUUAAUUGAUGGGGUCAGCGCAAGCGAAGCUCUUGAUCGAAGCCCCGGUAAACGGCGGCCGUAACUAUAACGGUCCUAAGGUAGCGAAAUUCCUUGUCGGGUAAGUUCCGACCUGCACGAAUGGCGUAAUGAUGGCCAGGCUGUCUCCACCCGAGACUCAGUGAAAUUGAACUCGCUGUGAAGAUGCAGUGUACCCGCGGCAAGACGGAAAGACCCCGUGAACCUUUACUAUAGCUUGACACUGAACAUUGAGCCUUGAUGUGUAGGAUAGGUGGGAGGCUUUGAAGUGUGGACGCCAGUCUGCAUGGAGCCGACCUUGAAAUACCACCCUUUAAUGUUUGAUGUUCUAACGUGGACCCGUGAUCCGGGUUGCGGACAGUGUCUGGUGGGUAGUUUGACUGGGGCGGUCUCCUCCUAAAGAGUAACGGAGGAGCACGAAGGUUGGCUAAUCCUGGUCGGACAUCAGGAGGUUAGUGCAAUGGCAUAAGCCAGCUUGACUGCGAGCGUGACGGCGCGAGCAGGUGCGAAAGCAGGUCAUAGUGAUCCGGUGGUUCUGAAUGGAAGGGCCAUCGCUCAACGGAUAAAAGGUACUCCGGGGAUAACAGGCUGAUACCGCCCAAGAGUUCAUAUCGACGGCGGUGUUUGGCACCUCGAUGUCGGCUCAUCACAUCCUGGGGCUGAAGUAGGUCCCAAGGGUAUGGCUGUUCGCCAUUUAAAGUGGUACGCGAGCUGGGUUUAGAACGUCGUGAGACAGUUCGGUCCCUAUCUGCCGUGGGCGCUGGAGAACUGAGGGGGGCUGCUCCUAGUACGAGAGGACCGGAGUGGACGCAUCACUGGUGUUCGGGUUGUCAUGCCAAUGGCACUGCCCGGUAGCUAAAUGCGGAAGAGAUAAGUGCUGAAAGCAUCUAAGCACGAAACUUGCCCCGAGAUGAGUUCUCCCUGACCCUUUAAGGGUCCUGAAGGAACGUUGAAGACGACGACGUUGAUAGGCCGGGUGUGUAAGCGCAGCGAUGCGUUGAGCUAACCGGUACUAAUGAACCGUGAGGCUUAACCUU